AUGAAGAUGAGUUAUGAUGAUAAGUUUGCUGUUCUGAGGGGCAUGGCUGAGGAAUGCAUCUAUGAGGAUGAGCUCCGCCUCCUGCUGAAAAAGAAGGCUGCUCCUGUUUGCUACAUUUGGUUUGAGCCAUCCCCCAUGAUGGACAUAGAGCAGGGGAUUAUGAAGACAGUUUAUGUCAACAAGAUGCUCAAAGCUGGCUGCACAGUUAAAAUAUUGAUGGCAGAUUGGUUUCUGCAAAGACACCAUAUGAUUGGCACCGACCUAAAGAAAAUACGGACCAUUGGUUGCUACAAUAUUGAGAUGUGGAAAGCAGCUGGUAUGGACCUUGACAGAGUAGAACUUGUAUGGUUGUCAGACGAGUUGAAUCAUCAUGCUGUUGAUUACUGGCCACUUGCGGUGGAAAUUUCCAGAAAAUACACCAUGAAAAGUAUGGCAAGGUUUUGUUGGAACAAGGCACCAUAUGGGCCACAAAGACUGCCUGCUGCCGAGAUAUUUUAUCCUUGCAUGCAGGUUGCUGCUAUAUUAUGCCAGAAGGUUGGUUUAUUUCAUAACUGA
This 555-nucleotide ribosomal RNA is filed under the name Triticum aestivum (bread wheat). Its description in RNAcentral is "partial small subunit ribosomal RNA". Lineage: Eukaryota; Viridiplantae; Streptophyta; Magnoliopsida; Poales; Poaceae. The record is from RNAcentral.